This 1233-nucleotide long non-coding RNA is filed under the name Homo sapiens (human). RNAcentral's name for it is "long intergenic non-protein coding RNA 964". The record is from RNAcentral. Lineage: Eukaryota; Metazoa; Chordata; Mammalia; Primates; Hominidae.
AGCCAGGUCUCCAGGUCCUCCGUGAUCAGGUCUCUGCUCUUCUGCAGCCUCAUCUCUGCCAUUCUUCACCUUUUGUGCUCCAACCCAAUCUGGUUUUCUUCUCAUGCUUUGAACACCCCAAGUCUGUCUGCUUCAGGAGCUUCGUACUGGCUAAUCAUUCACCACAGCAUACUCCCAUCUAUACGGCUGGCUCUUAUAUUAUGGGUCUCAGCUAAAAUGUCAUCCCUUCAAAGAGACCUUCUUGGACCACCCCCGCCAUUCUCUAUCCUAUUUCUCUCUUUUAUUUUCUUUGAAGCACUUACCCACUUUCAGAAACUAUCUGGCUUGCUCAUGUGUUUGUCUCUAGAUUGUCUACUUCCCCUCCUAGACUGUACUCUCCACAAGAGAGCAAAGCUGUGUCUGUUGCAUUCACUGUUGUCUUCCCAGAAGCAAGCAGCAUGCUGGAGACCCUCAAAUACAUGUGAAAUGAAGGGACACCUUGUGUUAUUUCACCUGUUUCCACCUGGUUCCCAAGUGGCAAGCUUGCAUUGAGGUUACAAAGUGGCAAAGCUGGGAUAUCACAUGAUGUCACCAUGAUGCUAUAUGAAAUGUAACAUUAAUUGAGUACCUAUGUGACCAGUUCUUUAAUUCUGUAAGUGAACUCUCAAAAAACCCUAGAGCACUGCGUGUUUUGAAAUAUACAAAUAGUGGGAAACGAAAUCUUUGUUCUGGAUGCAGUUAUAAUUUGGAAAGCGAGGAAAUAAAUUAUAACAAGGGGAAAAAACAGACACAGAGGGAUUGAAAUGCAUAACAAUAGAGAUGAAACACGAAGAGUGAUAAAUGAAGAUUGAGUGUGCACACCUUCUGGAGGAGCCCUGAUUGAGUAUUUUAAAAUACUACUAAAGUCAUGCCGUGUGACUUCUGAAGCUAGCUCCUAAGAAGUCCUUGCAGCUUCUGCCUGCGACUCUUAGAACACUUGCUUUGAAGGAUGCCAGAUGCUGUCUUAAAAGUCUGAGCACUCUGAAACCAUCAUGCUGUGAGGAAGCCCAAGCUAACCACAUGGGCAAAAAAGAUGCCCUCUGACUGCCACCAUUUGAGACACUCUAAUUAAGAACUGCCUCAUUGAGCCCAUGAGGCCCUGUGAAUGAUAAUAAUAAAUUGUUUUUAACCACUAUGUUUUUGGAUUUGUUAUAAGUUUAUAGAUAACAAGAAAAAGUUAUAUUAGCAUGGUAAUAAAAUUAUGGAUAUGUGUAA